This 352-nucleotide ribosomal RNA is filed under the name Necterosoma undecimlineatum. RNAcentral describes it as "partial 12S ribosomal RNA". Lineage: Eukaryota; Metazoa; Arthropoda; Insecta; Coleoptera; Dytiscidae. The record is from RNAcentral.
UUAGAAUGUAAAUAAAUUUAUUAUAGUAGUAUUAGUUAAGGUCUUGAAAUUUAAAAAUUUUGGCGGUAUUUUAGUCUAUUCAGAGGAAUCUGUUCUGUAAUUGAUAGUCCACGAUAAAUUAUACUUAAUUUAAAAAUUUGUAUAUCAUCGUUAUUAAAUAUUUUAUAAGAAUUUAAAUGUUUAAGAUUUUAUAUUAAAAAGUAUAUCAGAUCAAGGUGCAGUUUAUAUUUAAGAAGAAAUGGAUUACAAUAAAUUUAUUUAUGAUGGAUUUAUAUAUGAAAAUAUGUAAUGAAAGUGGAUUUGAUAGUAAUAAAAUUUAUAUAAAUUUUAUGAUUUAAGCUCUAAAAUGUGU